This is a long non-coding RNA of Neoarius graeffei (lesser salmon catfish), 769 nucleotides long. RefSeq lists it as uncharacterized. The record is from RefSeq and is a predicted model, not a curated record. The transcript has 3 exons. Lineage: Eukaryota; Metazoa; Chordata; Actinopteri; Siluriformes; Ariidae.
GUGAAGAGACGGUUGAAUCUCUAACCUAUCAAUUUGGGGGCUCGUCUGGGAUUACCAUCAAUCAGAGUUGAAUCUGUCGGUUACGAACGUAGUCAGCUCUGCAAUCUGACGAGACAACCCACUGAGAGCAGACAGCAGUUUUCUCUCAUCGAUCUGCGGACUUCCCGACACAGGUCCAUCGCGUCCAGACACAGGAGUCGACGGAGAGUAGAACGCGAGGCGCCGUCCAGCCAUUGAAGAUCACCAAGCAGCAAAAAUCCCAGAAACCAAGAGAAAGUUCCGGAGCACAUGAAAACUACAGUACCUGGAUGAGUAUGUGACUGAAGAGGGGGAAAGCCUUGCUGAGGAGCAGAGUGAAGCCUGUCCAGACAUACAAGAUGGAGAGGGGCAUGGAAGUGAUCAGUCCAGAAGUGAAAAACCAGAAGACUUGAUGAAAUUUCUGGCCAUGAUGCUUUUGUCAUGGCAAUCAGCCUUCAAGAUUUCUGAUAACGCCAUCAUAUCGCUUCUUCUGUGCAUCAAACAGUUUGUGUGGAUACUUGGAAAUGUUCUCUGUGUUAAUUCCCUCACUGCCUUUUCCAUCAAUAUUCCAGCAAUAUACAGGUUUUGUACUAUUGCUAUUAUUGAUAGACAUAUACCCUUGGCUGCUACUUUCACAGUACACUGUUGAAACACAUUAUUGUUGCAUUCAUGUCUUUGUUAUUUUUAGUACUAGUAAAAGUUUUUCAUCUCACUGUGUACUAUGUAUGGCUUAAAUGACAAUAAACCUUCU